UACAGAGGUCUCAAGCGUUGUUCGGAAUCACUGGGCGUAAAGGGUGCGUAGGCGGUCGCGCAAGUCGGAUGUGAAAUCUCAGGGCUCAACCCUGAAACUGCAUUCGAUACUGCGCGGCUAGAGUGCUGGAGGGGAGACUGGAAUUUACGGUGUAGCAGUGAAAUGCGUAGAUAUCGUAAGGAAGACCAGUGGCGAAGGCGAGUCUCUGGACAGCAACUGACGCUGAGGCACGAAGGCCAGGGGAGCAAACGGG
Molecule: ribosomal RNA, 253 nt
Filed under: uncultured bacterium
Lineage: Bacteria
Description: partial 16S ribosomal RNA
Rfam family: Bacterial small subunit ribosomal RNA
Source: RNAcentral